Non-coding RNA from Peromyscus maniculatus bairdii (prairie deer mouse), 1212 nucleotides. The record is from RefSeq and is a predicted model, not a curated record. NCBI's taxonomy places the organism in Eukaryota, Metazoa, Chordata, Mammalia, Rodentia, Cricetidae.
UUUUCUAAUGAGAGACAGAUGGGAGUGAAGAUGGGAGGAACAAGUGCUAUAACAAGAGUGAAGAAAGAUGGAGACAGAAGGAAGAUAGAAACAAAACUGCGCAUUUUGUCAGUAAAGGCAGGAGAAGGUUGGUGGAAGAUGGAACUGUGGUGUGUGACUCGCUCGUGGGCAGUGUUUGAUCCGUGCAUCGUUUCUCCCUGGGAAGGGAGAGAGGUUUGGGGACCGAGAGGGAGUCAUCCCCUGCAGCUGCCAACUCUACGUCCCUAGGACUUCUCUCAAACUUGUGUGCUGAGGAGACUGGAUGUUGGCCUCAGCGCCUAGGCUGAAAUCAGCAGAUUGGCUCAUGAAAACUUAUGUACUGAGACAAACGAAAGGGUCUAGCAGGAAGCAACAUCUCUUAUCCUGGGCUUGGCAGCAAGAAAGAGGACGAGGAGUGGAGAUCCUGCAAUCUGAAAAGCAGACUGAAAGGUGACAGAGAAGCUGAAGAUGAGAGGUGGAGAGAGGGAUAACAUUCCAGCCCCUCAAUCUAGAAAUGUUAGUAAGAACCAACAACAGCACAACAGACAGAAGACCAAGGAUCGGAAUUCCCAGAUGAAGAUCGUUCAUAAGAAAAAAGGAAGAGGACAUGGGUACGCUCCAUUGGCAGCUGCGUGGCAGGCCAUGCAGAAUGGGGGAAACAACAAGAGCCUUUCUAACAACCCAAACUGGAAUGCUAGCUUAUCAAGACCGAGCUUGCUUUUUAAGUCUCAGGUUAACCAGAACUAUGCCGGAGACAAAUUUAGUGAACCACCAUCAUCAAGGUGUUCUCCCCAAGCCACCAAGCCACUGGGUUCCUGGUUCAUUGAACCCUUCAGAUAAGGAAAUAAUGACAUUUCAACUUAAAACCCCACUUAAAGUAUAGGUUUAAAAUCCUAAGUACUAAUUUUAAAUUCUGUGAUGUUCAUAUAUAGCCAUCAGUUGAUUUGACUUUAGGGAAUUUUUAUAGAAGUGCUAGUUUACAAGUAUAAGCAGACAUUUGAUUUAUGUCCUGUGUGCACUAUAUUAUAAUAGUGUAGGGAUAAUUUAACUAAUUCUGCUUCAUAGUUUUGCUAACUAAAUUCAAGCUUAGAUUUUGGGAACAGUAAUCAACUUUGUUGUCUAGCAGGAAAACAGGGGAGGGGGAGGGGGAAUCAGAUAAUAAGCAUUUAGCUAAGAUAUACAAAGACUCCAAAC